RNAcentral lists this transfer RNA (67 nucleotides) under bovine gut metagenome. It matches the Rfam family "tRNA". From Rfam's summary of the family: Transfer RNA (tRNA) molecules are approximately 80 nucleotides in length. Their secondary structure includes four short double-helical elements and three loops (D, anti-codon, and T loops). RNAcentral also lists the same sequence under 1 other name. The record is from RNAcentral.
CGUGUAGCCCAGUUGGAUAGAGCGUUUGGCUACGAACCAAAAGGUCGCGAGUUCGAAUCUUGCCACG